AGAUUGAACGCUGGCGGCAUGCCUUACACAUGCAAGUCGAACGGCAGCACGGGAGCAAUCCUGGUGGCGAGUGGCGAACGGGUGAGUAAUAUAUCGGAACGUGCCCAGUCGUGGGGGAUAACGCAGCGAAAGCUGUGCUAAUACCGCAUACGAUCUAUGGAUGAAAGCGGGGGAUCGCAAGACCUCGCGCGAUUGGAGCGGCCGAUAUCAGAUUAGCUAGUUGGUGGGUAAAGCUACCAAGGCGACGAUCUGUAGCUGGUCUGAGAGGACGACAGCCACACUGGAACUGAGACACGGUCCAGACUCCUACGGGAGGCGAGCAGGUCGGGAAUUUUGGAACAAGUGGGCGACGAAGCCUAGAUUCCGAGUACC
RNAcentral lists this ribosomal RNA (372 nucleotides) under uncultured soil bacterium. Its description in RNAcentral is "bacterial SSU rRNA". It matches the Rfam family "Bacterial small subunit ribosomal RNA", at positions 26 to 395 of the family's 1533-position model. The record is from RNAcentral.